This 240-nucleotide ribosomal RNA is filed under the name uncultured bacterium. RNAcentral's name for it is "partial 16S ribosomal RNA". It matches the Rfam family "Bacterial small subunit ribosomal RNA", at positions 96 to 334 of the family's 1533-position model. The record is from RNAcentral.
CGGCGGACGGGUGAGUAACGCGUGGGUAACCUGCCUCAAAGAGGGGGACAACAGUUGGAAACGACUGCUAAUACCGCAUAAGCCCACGGCUCGGCAUCGAGCAGAGGGAAAAGGAGUGAUCCGCUUUGAGAUGGCCUCGCGUCCGAUUAGCUAGUUGGUGAGGUAACGGCCCACCAAGGCAACGAUCGGUAGCCGGACUGAGAGGUUGAACGGCCACAUUGGGACUGAGACACGGCCCAG